RNAcentral lists this long non-coding RNA (262 nucleotides) under Nicotiana benthamiana. Its description in RNAcentral is "long non-coding RNA (NBEN_LNC004843)". The record is from RNAcentral. Lineage: Eukaryota; Viridiplantae; Streptophyta; Magnoliopsida; Solanales; Solanaceae.
CACUGCAUGCAUCUCCAAAUCAUGUGUAUGAUAGUUUUGCUUGUGCUUUUCAAUUGAGUCGAAGCAUAAGCAAUAACACGACCAUUUUGCAUGAGAAAACAUCUUAAUCCCACCAUCGAGGCGUCACAGAAUACUAUAAAUCCUCCAUAACCUGAUGGUAAAGCUAAUAUUGGUGCAUUUGUCAAACAUGUUUUGCGUUUUUGAAAGCUCUGCUCACAUUCCUCCGUCCACUGAAACUUUGCAAUUUUCUGUGUUAGCUUGG